AGAUUGAACUGAAGAGUUUGAUCCUGGCUCAGAUUGAACGCUGGCGGCAUGCCUUACACAUGCAAGUCGAACGGCAGCACGGGCUUCGGCCUGGUGGCGAGUGGCGAACGGGUGAGUAAUACAUCGGAACGUGCCCUGUAGUGGGGGAUAACUAGUCGAAAGAUUAGCUAAUACCGCAUACGACCUGAGGGUGAAAGCGGGGGACCGGUAACGGCCUCGCGCUACAGGAGCGGCCGAUGUCUGAUUAGCUAGUUGGUGGGGUAAGAGCCUACCAAGGCGACGAUCAGUAGCUGGUCUGAGAGGACGAUCAGCCACACUGGGACUGAGACACGGCCCAGACUCCUACGGGAGGCAGCAGUGGGGAAUUUUGGACAAUGGGGGCAACCCUGAUCCAGCAAUGCCGCGUGUGUGAAGAAGGCCUUCGGGUUGUAAAGCACUUU
This 440-nucleotide ribosomal RNA is filed under the name Cupriavidus sp. L7L. RNAcentral's name for it is "bacterial SSU rRNA". It matches the Rfam family "Bacterial small subunit ribosomal RNA", at positions 1 to 436 of the family's 1533-position model. The record is from RNAcentral. Lineage: Bacteria; Pseudomonadati; Pseudomonadota; Betaproteobacteria; Burkholderiales; Burkholderiaceae.